AACGCGAAGAACCUUACCUGGCCUUGACAUGUCCGGAAUCCUGCAGAGAUGCGGGAGUGCCUUCGGGAAUCGGAACACAGGUGCUGCAUGGCUGUCGUCAGCUCGUGUCGUGAGAUGUUGGGUUAAGUCCCGCAACGAGCGCAACCCUUGUCCUUAGUUGCCAGCACGUAAUGGUGGGAACUCUAAGGAGACUGCCGGUGACAAACCGGAGGAAGGUGGGGAUGACGUCAAGUCCUCAUGGCCCUUACGGCCAGGGCUACACACGUACUACAAUGGUCGGUACAGAGGGUUGCGAAGCCGCGAGGUGGAGCCAAUCCCAGAAAGCCGAUCCCAGUCCGGAUCGAAGUCUGCAACUCGACUUCGUGAAGUCGGAGUCGCUAGUAAUCGCGGAUCAGCUAUGCCGCGGUGAAUACGUUCCCGGGCCUUGUACACACCG
This 436-nucleotide ribosomal RNA is filed under the name uncultured Rhodanobacter sp. RNAcentral's name for it is "bacterial SSU rRNA". It matches the Rfam family "Bacterial small subunit ribosomal RNA", at positions 958 to 1392 of the family's 1533-position model. Lineage: Bacteria; Pseudomonadati; Pseudomonadota; Gammaproteobacteria; Lysobacterales; Rhodanobacteraceae. The record is from RNAcentral.